UACAGAGGGUGCAAGCGUUAAUCGGAAUUACUGGGCGUAAAGCGUGCGUAGACGGUCAUGUAAGUCGGGUGUGAAAGCCCGGGGCUUAACCCCGGGUCUGCAUUCGAUACGGGCUAGCUAGAGUGUGGUAGGGGAGAUCGGAAUUCCUGGUGUAGCGGUGAAAUGCGCAGAUAUCAGGAGGAACACCGGUGGCGAAGGCGGCAUUCUGGACUGCAACUGACACUGAGGAACGAAAGCCAGGGGAGCAAACGGG
RNAcentral lists this ribosomal RNA (253 nucleotides) under uncultured bacterium. Its description in RNAcentral is "partial 16S ribosomal RNA". It matches the Rfam family "Bacterial small subunit ribosomal RNA", at positions 524 to 776 of the family's 1533-position model. The record is from RNAcentral.